CCUACGGGAGGCAGCAGUGGGGAAUAUUGGACAAUGGGCGAAAGCCUGAUCCAGCCAUGCCGCGUGUGUGAAGAAGGUCUUCGGAUUGUAAAGCACUUUAAGUUGGGAGGAAGGGCAGUAAGUUAAUACCUUGCUGUUUUGACGUUACCGACAGAAUAAGCCCCG
Molecule: ribosomal RNA, 165 nt
Filed under: uncultured bacterium
Lineage: Bacteria
Description: partial 16S ribosomal RNA
Rfam family: Bacterial small subunit ribosomal RNA
Source: RNAcentral